CAGCAGCAGCCGCGGUAAUACAGAGGGUGCAAGCGUUAAUCGGAAUUACUGGGCGUAAAGCGCGCGUAGGUGGUUUGUUAAGUUGGAUGUGAAAUCCCCGGGCUCAACCUGGGAACUGCAUCCAAAACUGGCAAGCUAGAGUAUGGUAGAGGGUGGUGGAAUUUCCUGUGUAGCGGUGAAAUGCGUAGAUAUAGGAAGGAACACCAGUGGCGAAGGCGACCACCUGGACUGAUACUGACACUGAGGUGCGAAAGCGUGGGGAGCAAACAGGAUUAGAUACCCCCGUAGUCCCUGUCUCUUAUAC
This 304-nucleotide ribosomal RNA is filed under the name uncultured bacterium. RNAcentral describes it as "partial 16S ribosomal RNA". It matches the Rfam family "Bacterial small subunit ribosomal RNA", at positions 506 to 807 of the family's 1533-position model. The record is from RNAcentral.